Molecule: small RNA, 34 nt
Filed under: Bombyx mori (domestic silkworm)
Lineage: Eukaryota; Metazoa; Arthropoda; Insecta; Lepidoptera; Bombycidae
Description: ovarian small RNA-14852
Source: RNAcentral
CUGAAAUGUUAUCUGCAAAGUGCCAGCACUUUAG